UGGGGAAUUUUGGACAAUGGGCGAAAGCCUGAUCCAGCAAUGCCGCGUGUGUGAAGAAGGCCUUCGGGUUGUAAAGCACUUUUGUCCGGAAAGAAAUCCUUGGCUCUAAUACAGUCGGGGGAUGACGGUACCGGAAGAAUAAGCACCGGCUAACUACGUGCCAGCAGCCGCGGUAAUACGUAGGGUGCAAGCGUUAAUCGGAAUUACUGGGCGUAAAGCGUGCGCAGGCGGUUUGCUAAGACCGAUGUGAAAUCCCCGGGCUCAACCUGGGAACUGCAUUGGUGACUGGCAGGCUAGAGUAUGGCAGAGGGGGGUAGAAUUCCACGUGUAGCAGUGAAAUGCGUAGAGAUGUGGAGGAAUACCGAUGGCGAAGGCAGCCCCCUGGGCCAAUACUGACGCUCAUGCACGAAGGCGUGGGGAGCAAACAGGAUUAGAUACCCUGGUAGUCCACGCCCUAAACGAUGUCAACUAGUUGUUGGGGAUUCAUUUCCUUAGUAACGUAGCUAACGCGUGAAGUUGACCGCCUGGGGAGUACGGUCGCAAGAUUAAAACUCAAAUGAAUUGACGGGGUCCAUA
This 576-nucleotide ribosomal RNA is filed under the name uncultured bacterium. RNAcentral describes it as "partial 16S ribosomal RNA". It matches the Rfam family "Bacterial small subunit ribosomal RNA", at positions 355 to 924 of the family's 1533-position model. The record is from RNAcentral.